CCCGCUGAACUUAAGCAUAUCAAUAAGCGGAGGAAAAGAAACUAACAAGGAUUCCCCUAGUAACUGCGAGUGAAGCGGGAAAAGCUCAAAUUUAAAAUCUGGCGGUCUUUGGCUGUCCGAGUUGUAAUUUAGAGAAGCGUCUUCCGCGCUGGACCGUGCACAAGUCUCCUGGAAUGGAGCGUCAUAGAGGGUGAGAAUCCCGUCUUUGGCACGGAUGCCCGGUGCUUCUGUGAUGCGCUCUCGAAGAGUCGAGUUGUUUGGGAAUGCAGCUCAAAAUGGGUGGUGAACUCCAUCUAAAGCUAAAUAUUGGCGAGAGACCGAUAGCGAACAAGUACCGUGAGGGAAAGAUGAAAAGCACUUUGGAAAGAGAGUGAAACAGUACGUGAAAUUGUUGAAAGGGAAACGCUUGAAGUCAGUCGCGUCGACCGAGACUCAGCCUCGCCUUGGCUUGGUGUACUUCUCGGCUGACGGGUCAGCAUCAAUUUCGAUCCUUGGAUAAUGGCAAGGGAAAGGUAGCACCUUUACAGGUGUGUUAUAGUCCUUUGUCGGAUGCAAGGGUUGGGAUUGAGGAACUCAGCACGCACCUCAUCGGUGUCGGGGCCUUUUGGCCUACGUUACGUGCUUAGGAUGCUGGCAUAAUGGCUUUAAACGACCCGUCUUGAAACACGG
RNAcentral lists this ribosomal RNA (669 nucleotides) under uncultured fungus. Its description in RNAcentral is "eukaryotic LSU rRNA". It matches the Rfam family "Eukaryotic large subunit ribosomal RNA", at positions 24 to 664 of the family's 3401-position model. Lineage: Eukaryota; Fungi. The record is from RNAcentral.